CCUACGGGUGGCAGCAGUAGGGAAUAUUGCUCAAUGGGGGCAACCCUGAAGCAGCAACGCCGCGUGGAGGAUGAAGGUUUUCGGAUUGUAAACUCCUUUUGUUAGAGAAGAUAAUGACGGUAUCUAACGAAUAAGCACCGUCUAACUCCGUGCCAGCAGCCGCGGUAAUACGGAGGGUGCAAGCGUUAUUCGGAUUCACUGGGCGUAAAGAGCGCGUAGGCGGGUUAGCAAGUCAGAUGUGAAAUCCUAUGGCUCAACCAUAGAACUGCAUUUGAAACUGUGAUGCUAGAGUAUGGGGGAGGUAGGUGGAAUGCUUGGUGUAGCGGUGAAAUGCGUAGAGAUCACGAAGAAUACUGAUUGCGAAGGCGGCCUGCUAAGCCAUAACUGACGCUGAUGCGCGAAAGCGUGGGGAGCGAACAGGAUUAGAUACCCUUGUAGUC
This 440-nucleotide ribosomal RNA is filed under the name uncultured bacterium. RNAcentral describes it as "partial 16S ribosomal RNA". It matches the Rfam family "Bacterial small subunit ribosomal RNA", at positions 338 to 795 of the family's 1533-position model. The record is from RNAcentral.